CUUGGUCAUAUAAGUUACACUAACCUAAAGGAUGGGAAACCAUCAAAAGCAUUUAGGCAAGAAAAUGUCAAUAUCAGAGAUAUGUUUUAAAACAUUACUUUGAACACUGUGUGAGGAAGGGAUUAAAGGCGAGAAAGAGAGCAAAGCCAGAGAGAUGAAUUAGGAGGUUAUGUUAGUUAGAAAUGCUUUCAGCUUCAAGUAAGAGAAUACCCAAAUACCUUAAACCCUGUAGCAACAUUUAUGGUUUACCAACAGGAAAUCGGGAAACAAUGCCUCCUCAGGAACAGUUUGGGAGCUCUGUGAUUUCAUUAAAAACCCGAGCUUUCUCCAUCCUUCUCCAUCACCAUCUUCCAUGUGUUGGCUUUUUCUUCUCUCCUGUCGUCUCCUGGUUGCAAGAUGGCUGCCUUAGCUUUCAGACACAAUAAUCUGAUUCAAGGCAGGAGGAAGGGGGAAGGGACAGCGAUAGCUACCAUCUGUUCCAUUUCUCUAGAAAGCAAAACUUUCCCAAAAGCCCAUCACAGAUGUCUUUUUACAUCUCAUUGGUCAGAACCAGGUCACAUUGCCCCUCUAACUGCAAGGAAGGCUAGAAAUUUGAUCAGGCUUCUUCAUUAUGAUUCAGUACCUGGAGCUGGACACAUUGUUGCCUGGAGCAAAACUGGAGUUCUGAUAGCCAGGUAAAAAGAGAAAUGACUUUGGGGUAGGAAAUCAACAGUGAUGGUCACAGAGGCCAGGGAAGAUGGCCCUGACUAAGAUGCUGGCAUUGGACACAGAGAUAUUUAAGAGGUGGAAGUUACAGAACUUGGUGAUGGGAUGUGAGGAAUGAAGGAGGGGAAGGAGAAAAGGAUGAUUUCCAGGUUUGAGCUUGGGCAGCCAACAGAUUGUGAUGUCAUCUACUACAACAGAAAAUAUGAAGAAGAAACACAGGUGUGAGGAAGAUGAAAAGUCCACUUUUAAACAUUCAACUCACUGAAGGUCAGCAAGAACUGACCAACACAACUCAAUAUCCCAACGUUUUUCUACCAAGUCCCCUAGAUUGCUGCCCUGAUGUUGUUUAACGUUUUACCAUGGGAACGCUUUGAGCACGUCUAAAUACUGAAUAAGAUCCAGGAGAGUAGCAAAGAUUGGAGAUACAGGAAACAGAGGGCUGAAGGUGGCAGGGCAUGGGCUCCAUGUCACCAGUGGAAAGAUGGACCUCCCACAGUCGCCUUCCAUUGUAGCGGGAGGCAGGGGAAGGAUGGGCAAGGUGCAGGGGGAUUGUACAUGUCUGCGUUGGCUCACUCCAUUCCUUUUCAACCCCGUUCUACACUACCUUCCUCUGUUAUAGAAGCUGGAAAGGAAAAUGCUCAAAUUUCCAGCAUCCCUUGCAGCUUGGGGUGUCCAUGGGAUGAGUUCUAGUCAAUGAGAAUAUCAGAAAUCCCAGAGGAGGUCUUCCCUUCCUGAAUAAAAGGGUAAAGCAGUGAGAUUUUCCAUUCUCUCAUUUUUGUUUCCUCUUUUCUUCUUGCCUGAACAUUGGUUUUGAUGCCCAGAGAUCCAGCAGUUAUCUUGCAACCAUGAGGAGAAUGGCCACACACUAAGGAGGAUGGAACAGGAAGGUAGAAAGAACCCGGUACCUUGAUGCCCUUGAGCAGCUGCACCUGCCCUGGCGUGCCUACCCUCAGACUUCCUGUUGCAUUGGAAGAAAGGAAGGGAGGGAGGGAGGAAGGAAGAAAACAACUGUCUCAGUUAAGCUAUGGCCUGUAAGGGUUCUGUUACUCGUAAGCAGGAGCCUGGCUUGUGCACCCCCGGGGCCUGCGGGGCCUCCCUUCCUUCCCAGGUGCCCUCCCCUGACAGCUGUGGGUAUCAGCCUCCUGUCGAAGUUUGGCACGAAAGCAGGUUUUGCGUUAGAAGUCUCAGAGGAGCCUCUUUUUGGGAAGGAGUAGUGAAGACAAGAGAGAACAGAGAGACACACGGAGUAGCAGAAGGAGCAGCUGGCUGGGGUUGAUUGAUCUGGUCCUGGCCCUCAGCCUGCCACUAACCAGCUCUGUGACCUCUCUGGGCCUCAGUCUACAGAACAAAGGAUUUGAGCUGGAGCAGUGUUUCUCAACUUCAUAACCAUCAAAAAGAAGGACCUCGUAUUUCUUUUAAGAUUUUUCUCUGCCAGACUGCAUUUAUCAAAUAAUUCAUAUUUCCAUGAGAAUACUGUGUUGAUACAAUUCCGGCCAAAAGCAAAGAAAAAUAACUUUUUAAUUUAGCCUUGUUAGUCUUACCAUAGGAUGAAACUUCCAUUAGUUCUUUGGAAAAAUUGGAAAUGUUUCUCGGGUCCACAUGAUUAUCUUGAGGACUUGUUGUGCCCUAGGGCUUUCCUACAAGAGUGCUGGCCUAGGAGUUCACUGGGGUCCAGUUCUGCUUUCCGUGAUGCCGGAGCCUGUGCCCCUUAGGAGCCAGUGGAGGUGCAUUUUCCCUCCUGCCCCCAGGCCCAGUGCCAAUUCCCAGUGCCAGGAGCUCGCUUCCCUCGUGAAAAACAAGCCUGUCGGAAUGGCACCUUCCUGCUGACCUGAGGGCACCUCAUUCACCCUCCUGCCUGCUAUCCCUCCUCACAGGCCCUUUCCCCCAUCCCACCUCCCCCCCAUCCCAGGAGGGAGUUGUCUCACCUAAGCCUUCAUCUCCAUGAGCCUGCUCUGCGGCCUUCUGACCUGAGAGACCUGGAGACGCUUUCAGCCAGUCAGAGGAGGAAGCCUGGUCAUCUCCCUCAGGCAGCUCCAUCGCCUGGUGAAGAGGGAAGGGCAGAGGCUCCCAACCCAGCUGAUAAAUGCUGUCACAGAGGGUCCAAUCUGCUGCUGGAGCCCUGAACGGUCAGCUCUGCUUGGAAGUGCGAAAGGUCAGAGAGAGGAGGGAAGAUCUGAGUCAGGGCCUGAAGGAUGAAGGGAGAAGCCUUUGAAGACCAGAGCCCCAGGAAGGUCAGCUGGGCUAGGAAGGGCAGGGCUUCAUGCUGGUUAGCAACUCAUUUGCCUGAUAACUUUAUUUAAGGCCUCUCUCCCUCCUUCUUCCAUCCUCCCACCAAUAUUUAUUGAGCAUCUUUUUUGUGCCAGUACCAUGUUAGGUGAUAGAAAUAAAUUCAUAUUCAUAUUUCAUAUCACAGGGCGUGCACUGUCCUGAAGGAGCUCACAGAUUAGUGGAGAGAGAAACAUGGAGAACUUGUAGCCUCUGGUCCUGCAUUAGGGGAAGCACCUUCAAGGAGACACACCCUAGACUCCAGAGCAGCAGCUGACAACCCCUGAUGACACGAGGCAGCGUGCCACCAAACCACAGAGCAGCCUCAAUAGGUCCUAGCCCCAGGCCCCUCUUAUAUCUGACGUUUGCCCCGUCUUGGUUGAAGAGCAGCCCUGAGUCUUCUGUCCGCUCUGGAAGCUGUGGAAUUUUCCCGCCUGGAGGCUGGAGACUGGAGCAGGUGACCUCUUAUGCUCCACGCAUCUGUAGUGGGAGGAGGGCUCUGAGGAAGCCUCUGAGCCUGCCCUUCCGUUCAGGCGGCAGCGUGCAGGGCAGAGGGGGAGGAGCCUCCCGAGAACAGGCUACAUCUGCUCUCCUAAUCCUGCUCCUGAGGAGGCGUGACAGGACAGUCCCCCCUCAGGGCCUCGCUGCCCUGCCACAGUCCAGGCCUGGACAGAGGAUGAGGACUGUGUGCAUCACAAAGCAAUCCUCAGAGGUGCUACAGUCCUGGGAUAUCCUGGAGGAGAGAGGCCAGUGCAUUACACAAAUAUAAAGGGUUUAUCUUUUUCUUCUUCUCUAUCCUCUGUUUCAGCCCUUCUCCUGCCCCGCCCAUGCUCUCCAAGCCAAACCAGCAAAUUGGCAGAGAAAACUAACCAAGAUCUAUUUGAGGAAUGGGAAACUUGGGAAAGAAGAUGCUUCUAGAAUUUCUUCCCCAUGCUCUAGUCUGGGCAGGUUGCUCCCGGGAGGGUUGGGCUGUGGGUUGCCACUGUUAGAAUCUAAUAGGAGCUGCCUUCCUCUCGCUCCCGGCCCUGCCUAGUUAUUUGCAAGCCUGCUUGUUAGGGAAAUUCAAUUCCCCCUGGAACCCACCACCUGGAAAAACACCUCGCAGCACACAUAGUGAACAACGAGUGCAUUAACGGGGGAGGAGGAGACGGUGGCAGGCACUGGACCAAGGCGCCAUCAGUUCUGGAGGCUAGUGAAGUCUUCCAGCUGAACCGAAGCAUGUUGUUGUGCCUGGCCGGGAGGACAGCCGCACUCGCCUGGCGUCUGAAUGUGCCCCUCCACUCCCCGCUCUCCAGAGUCCGGGGGCACCGUGGAAUGAAUGCGCCAUUGCUUCACCAGGCUUCCAGGUUUGGCUCUCUUUGCAGGCCUUUGCUAAGUGCCAGGGUCGCCUUCAAGUUCAGCUCCCUCCGUGAACAGAGCCCAGUAGGUGCUUGGAGAGCAGGGGGAGAAGGAUGAGAACUCCCAGGAUACACAGGCUCUGUCCGGGGAGCUCUCAGCCUGAUGGAGACCCACCUGCCCUCAGGAAGUAAAGGCAGAGAGAGUCCCACAGGAGGGAGGCUCUGUAUUGCACGCAGUCGAGCAUGAACAUCAAAGCCAUCCCCGUCUGCUGUGAGGAGACCACCUCCAAGGUGAGGAAACUAAGGCACAGAAAAGCUGAGUAACUUGCCCAAGGCUCCACGGUCAUUAAGGGGUCGAGCCAGAUUUUAAACCAGAGUCUGUACUCUCAGGCACCUCCAUAAGAGACCAGGAUGUGGAAGCUUCUGGGAGUCCUUCUCUGGAUCCACAGAAGGCGUGCUCUCUAAGCAGGUAGUCCCAUAGGCGGGGCCAACUCCAGAGGCCUGGGGAGCCAGCGCACUGGGAGAGAGUCCAGCAUGGGCACAGCUGACUCUGGGACCCCUGGGGCCUCUCUCCCCACUACACCCCAUCCAGGGCUGCUGGGGCGAAAUGGAUUCAUGGAAAUGAGGGUGCUGGCAAUGUUGGAAGAUGCUCCCUACACACAAGGCCGUAACUUCCCCAGACUGGCAGGGCUGGGACAUCAGUGAGGUCUUCUAGUCAGAACGAAGGUCAGGGGACACAGCCAGGCAGGGAGAUGGCUCCUGCUAAAUGAGCCCAUCACUUUCCUCCCGGCCCUGCCUGCCUGCUCUCCGUGCCUGACCUUUCCCCAACUCUCAGAGGGAGAGGGGAGAGAGGGAGGCUGAGGAG
This is a long non-coding RNA of Equus caballus (horse), 5172 nucleotides long. Lineage: Eukaryota; Metazoa; Chordata; Mammalia; Perissodactyla; Equidae. The record is from Ensembl.